GGGGUAGAGGGAGGUUGGAGGGAGAGAUGGAGGGGUAGAGGGAGGUUGGAGGGAGAGAUGUAGGGGUAGAGGGAGGUUGGAGGGAGAGAUGGAGGGGUAGAGGGAGGUGUGGAUGGAGAGAUGGAGGGGUAGAGGGAGGGAAGGAGAGAGGGAGGGAUAAAUAAAGGGGAACAGGAAUGGGGGUGUUUGAAAGGGUCAAUGCUAGAUUGGAUGCACUAGGGGUUUCAUAUCAUUUGUUAGAUCCUUGUCUGUUUGUUCGUUCAUUUACCCCACAACCCCACCCGGCCCCCCUACCC
Long non-coding RNA from Oncorhynchus tshawytscha (Chinook salmon), 296 nucleotides. The record is from Ensembl. NCBI's taxonomy places the organism in Eukaryota, Metazoa, Chordata, Actinopteri, Salmoniformes, Salmonidae.